AAAAUGUCAUUGUUGCUUGUAUAUGGCAGUUGGUUUCAGCCUACUAUUGAGCGAGUGGCUUUAAACUCCAGAGAACCUCAUAUGUGUUUAGUAAGAGAUAUUUCAAACUGCUGGGCCCCCAAAGUAGAAACAGCUAUAACAAAGGUGAGGACACCAGUGAUGAAUUCUGAAGCAAAAGUUCUGGUGCCUGGGAUUCCUGGUCAUCAUGCAGCUAUCAAGCCUGCUCCUCCACAAACCGAGCAAGUAGAGAGCAAGAGGAAAUCAGGGGGAAAUGAGGUUAGCAUUGAAGAACGUCUGGGAGCAAUGGAUAUAGACACACACAAAAAAGGAAAGGAAGAUCUCCAGACGAAUAGCUUUCCUGUUCUUCUUACCCAGGGCUUAGAAAGUAACGAUUUUGAAAUGCUAAAUAAAGUACUUCAAACUAGGAAUGUAAACCUUAUAAAGAAGACUGUAUUAAGGAUGCCCCUGCAUACUGUUAUUCCGUUGUUACAAGAGGUAACUGACUGCUUUUUUCAUUUUAGCGUCCUAAUGCCAUGAAUUAAAUGGAAAAUUCAGUAGUUAGAGAAAUGGAUUUGUAAUACGUAAGGACACAUGGCAUUUAGAGUGAGUCAUGGAUGGAGGAAAGUAC
RNAcentral lists this small RNA (628 nucleotides) under Pongo abelii (Sumatran orangutan). RNAcentral describes it as "retained intron". The record is from RNAcentral. Lineage: Eukaryota; Metazoa; Chordata; Mammalia; Primates; Hominidae.